GCUUACGGCCAUACCAGCCUGAAAUACGCCCGAUCUCGUCCGAUCUCGGAAGCUAAGCAGGGUCGGGCCUGGUUAGUACUUGGAUGGGAGACCGCCUGGGAAUACCAGGUGCUGUAAGCG
This 120-nucleotide ribosomal RNA is filed under the name Oncorhynchus mykiss (rainbow trout). The record is from RNAcentral. Lineage: Eukaryota; Metazoa; Chordata; Actinopteri; Salmoniformes; Salmonidae.